RNAcentral lists this ribosomal RNA (465 nucleotides) under Vreelandella stevensii. RNAcentral's name for it is "partial 16S ribosomal RNA". It matches the Rfam family "Bacterial small subunit ribosomal RNA", at positions 338 to 795 of the family's 1533-position model. The record is from RNAcentral. Lineage: Bacteria; Pseudomonadati; Pseudomonadota; Gammaproteobacteria; Oceanospirillales; Halomonadaceae.
CCUACGGGUGGCUGCAGUGGGGAAUAUUGGACAAUGGGCGAAAGCCUGAUCCAGCCAUGCCGCGUGUGUGAAGAAGGCCUUCGGGUUGUAAAGCACUUUCAGUGGGGAAGAAAGCCUUGGGGCUAAUACCCUCGAGGAAGGACAUCACCCACAGAAGAAGCACCGGCUAACUCCGUGCCAGCAGCCGCGGUAAUACGGAGGGUGCGAGCGUUAAUCGGAAUUACUGGGCGUAAAGCGCGCGUAGGCGGUCUGAUAAGCCGGUUGUGAAAGCCCCGGGCUCAACCUGGGAACGGCAUCCGGAACUGUCAGGCUAGAGUGCAGGAGAGGAAGGUAGAAUUCCCGGUGUAGCGGUGAAAUGCGUAGAGAUCGGGAGGAAUACCAGUAGCGAAGGCGGCCUUCUGGACUGACACUGACGCUGAGGUGCGAAAGCGUGGGUAGCAAACAGGAUUAGAUACCCUGGUAGUC